AUAUUUGAGAGUUUGAUCCUGGCUCAGGAUGAACGCUGGCGGCGUGCCUAACACAUGCAAGUCGAGCGAUCUCUUCGGAGAGAGCGGCGGACGGGUGAGUAACGCGUGGGUAACCUGCCCUGUACACACGGAUAACAUACCGAAAGGUAUACUAAUACGGGAUAACAUACGAAA
This 174-nucleotide ribosomal RNA is filed under the name Paraclostridium bifermentans. RNAcentral describes it as "partial 16S ribosomal RNA". It matches the Rfam family "Bacterial small subunit ribosomal RNA", at positions 1 to 185 of the family's 1533-position model. The record is from RNAcentral. Lineage: Bacteria; Bacillati; Bacillota; Clostridia; Peptostreptococcales; Peptostreptococcaceae.